RNAcentral lists this ribosomal RNA (1449 nucleotides) under metagenome. RNAcentral describes it as "bacterial SSU rRNA". It matches the Rfam family "Bacterial small subunit ribosomal RNA". The record is from RNAcentral.
AGAGUUUGAUCCUGGCUCAGGACGAACGCUAGCGGCGUGCCUAACACAUGCAAGUCAAGGGCUCUUCGGAGCACUGGCGGACGGGUGAGUAACGCGUAGGUAAUCUGCCUCUUUCACUGACAAAACGUCGAGAAAUUGACGAUAAUAUCAGAUAUGCACUUCGGUGUGAAAGACUUCGGUUGGGAAGAGAUGAGCCUGCGUCUGAUUAGUUAGUUGGCGGGGUAACGGCCCACCAAGACGACGAUCAGUAGCUGGUCUGAGAGGAUGGUCAGCCACACUGGAACUGAGACACGGUCCAGACUCCUACGGGAGGCAGCAGUGAGGAAUAUUGGUCAAUGGGGGAAACCCUGAACCAGCGACGCCGCGUGUGGGAUGACAGGGCUUUGCCCCGUAAACCACUGUCAGGAGGGAAGAAAAGUGCCCUAUGGGUGCCGGGACAGUACCUCCAGAGGAAGGAUCGGCUAACUACGUGCCAGCAGCCGCGGUAAUACGUAGGAUCCAAGCGUUGUCCGGAAUUACUGGGUGUAAAGGGUGUGCAGGCGGGUCUGUACGUCAAGGGUUAAAUAUUUCGGCUUAACCGAAAAACAGCCCUUGAUACGGCAGGUCUUGAGUGCGAGAGAGGAUAGCAGAAUUCCUGGUGUAGCGGUGAAAUGCGUAGAUAUCAGGAGGAAUACCAGUGGCGAAGGCGGCUAUCUGGCUCGUAACUGACGCUCAGGCACGAAAGCGUGGGGAGCAAACAGGAUUAGAUACCCUGGUAGUCCACGCCCUAAAACGAUGUAUGCUUGGUGUUGGGGGCUUGUCCCUCAGUGCCGGAGGAAACCCGUUAAGCAUACCACCUGGGGAGUACGAUCGCAAGUUUGAAACUCAAAGGAAUUGACGGGGGCCCGCACAAGCGGUGGAUCAUGUGGUUUAAUUCGAUGCAACGCGAAGAACCUUACCCGGGCUUGAAGUGUAGGAAGUAGAACCAUGAAAAUGGAACCACCUGUUAAAUCAGGAACCUACAGAGGUGCUGCAUGGCUGUCGUCAGCUCGUGCCGUGAGGUGUUGGGUUAAGUCUCGCAACGAGCGCAACCCCUAUCCUUAGUUGCCAUCAGGUAAUGCUGGGAACUCUAAGGAGACUGCCUACGCAAGUAGAGAGGAAGGUGGGGACGACGUCAAGUCAUCAUGGCCCUUAUGUCCGGGGCUACACACGUGAUACAAUGGUUGGUACAGAGGGCGAAGCCGCGAGGUGGAGAAAAUCCUUAAAACCAAUCUCAGUUCGGAUUGUGGUCUGCAACUCGACUACAUGAAGCUGGAAUCGCUAGUAAUCGUAGAUCAGAACGCUACGGUGAAUACGUUCCCGGGCCUUGUACACACCGCCCGUCAAGCCAUGGAAGUUGAAGACCCCCGAAGCCGUUAGAAAUAGCGUCGAAGGGGAAUUCAGUAACUGGGGCUAAGUCGUAACAAGGUA